RNAcentral lists this non-coding RNA (30 nucleotides) under Homo sapiens (human). The record is from RNAcentral. Lineage: Eukaryota; Metazoa; Chordata; Mammalia; Primates; Hominidae.
UCAACUUCCCAUGCUCAGUGAUCUACCCAC